AAGUGUGUGUGUGUGUGUGUGUGUGUGUGUUGUGUGUGUGUGUGUGUGUGUGUGUGUGUGUAUCCUUUUUAAAGUCAGUUUAUAACCUUGCUGUAUGUGUGAGGCAGACAUUUCUUCCUGUAGACUACCUCCUUCCUGAAAAAGUCUGAGCUUUGUAUGGUUUGAAUAACCAUAGAAUUCUUAGCGUCCACAGGUCAGUAUUCAGGGGAGAUUCUGUACCUUCAGCUCACAUCUGGCAUCCACGCCCAGUCAUUUUGCCAGGGCAAAUGGUGCUGGGCAUCAGUAGACAGAGGCAGGGGAGAUGAGCAGGUUGUCAGGGGUUGAGACAUCUUCUGAGGCCUCUUGGCUUUUCUUCUGCUCUGGACCAUCUCUGCUCAGCUCAGUGACUGAAGGUGUAAGAGUCGGGGUUUCAGGGUCCUGGGAAGGCCUGGGUUUGGAGAGUCUGCUGGUUUCCUUGGUUUUCUGUGGCUCAGUGCGGUGCCCCACACCCCUGUGUAUACUUCCCUGGAUGCAUUUUCACCUGAUCUGUACUUUUCUCUUACUCAUGCUGAUUUUUUUAAAUACAAAAUUAAAAUGUCAGGUCUAACUUAAGUGAUCUUUUAAUGACUUCUCAUAAUAUUAUUGUGAUGUUACAGUCCUUGUAGUCUAUGUGUUUGAAUAAGGGUAGACAUUUCCACUGAUUAAAAAAAUAUGUAAUAUAUAAUUGAAUCUAAAAGCCCUCAGAAGGCCAUCAUUAAGCUUCAUUGAGUUAAAAUAUAAGUUUAUUUUCCCUUACAUUUUAACAGUUAAAAUAUAAGUGUAAUUUUUCCCUCUGUGGUUUUUGUUUUUGUUUUUGAGAUAGGAUCUUUCUAUGUCACCCAGGCUGUCUGUGAACUGAAUCCCAAAUGCUGGCAUUUACAAGUGUACACUACCAGGUCUGACUGUUUUUUCAAAUUUUGGUGGAGAAAGCAAGGCCAUGAACUUGGAUAGAGUACUGGAUUUUUCUUCUUAAACUGGAAAAUUCCUUUCAGAUUUGUAUUCUGUACUAGAGAUCAAAAAAGGCAGGAGUGGCUGGCAGGUAUACCAGAGGCUUGGCCUUCAUGGCGUAAUGCCAGCUGCUGAUGUUACCACAGUCUUUUGUUCACCUUGGCCUUGUGCUGGGUGAGGUCUAGUACUGUUUUACUGAGGCCUGUGAUUUUCACAUUCUGAAAGGCAGCUUUAUGUGGUAAUGUCUUAAGCACCAUUGAGACCCUCAAUAGAAUCGUAGAAGAACAGUUGGCAGUCUCCUGGAACACACACCUUGAUUAGGAAAAGGUUUUCUUUUGCGUUUAUUUUCUUUUUUGAUUUUGGAGACUGGGUCUUAGUCUUUAGUCUAGGCUGGCCUCAAACUCUUGGCAACCUUCCCGCCUUGGUACCCCAAGUCCUGGCAUUAUGACUGUAAGCUGCUGUUCGGCACAGUAGACGUUUUUCAACACAGAAAUUUCUCCCCAGAAUUCACUCUGUUAACAUGACAGUCACACUGUGACAUACACAGUGAAGGGUUAGCAUAAGAAAUAAAUGCUGCAUAGCAUCCAGGCCCGCUGAGUCCUUCCCGCGCCCCGGCAGAUGACUCGAGAAUCAAGCACUGUCCUAAAUCACUGACUCAGCAUGAAGUUGCUGUUUGAUUCUCAAAUACAGACUUUUUUUUUUUUAACAUGGAAAAUUCUAGCUUGAAAUUUUCUGGAGCUUUGUCAUAGCUUUUUCCAAUUUCCCAUUAAUUCUUUCUCAUGGGAUUCAUUCCCAAAUGCCUUCUGGAUUCCCUGCACGUCCUGACAGCUGUUCCUUUUCAUCUCUGUGUUACGCACGACUGACAGUUUUAUUUUUAUAGUCUUCUUACAGACUUCUGUGACUUUAUGUUAUAUUUUACCAACAGCUUCACAAUUACAUCAGGUUACUUGACGAUGCAGUAUAUGCCAGCUUCCGCCUUCUCGCUGGAUUGUAGAUUGCUGUUUUUGUUGUGUGUGUGUGUUUUUUUUUUUUUUCAUUUGGGACACUUAAGCAGGUGAAGGAACAUUUUACUCAGUGGCUUGUCCUGUUUAUCACUUAUUUACUUCAUAUGUGUCAUUCGCCUGUGCCAAAAACUGGGAGUCAUGCCAUGGUGCCAUGCUUUGGCUUGGAAAGGUGUGGAGACAAGUGCAGGCCUGAGCAGAAACCUGGGGCUGGGAAUGAAUUUCCAGACCUACAGGAUGGAGAGUGUUGAUGCUGUGGUCUGCGGAGCGGGUGGGGAUGUGAGGGGGUGGGAGCGGGGUGCGGGUCUCUAUGGAUUUGAGCGGCUAAGUGUUCUUGGACACACAGCGCUGGGAAGGGACAGACACAUGAUCUGUCUCCGGCAGACACGCCCAGAUGCUGGCUUCAGUGGAAAGCGCUUUGUUAGUUUUCGUCUGGGUCUACUGUUCCCAGUGCGGGCGCUGUCCCAUCAUUCUCUUACAUUAUCAGAACUACUUACUGAAGGCGCGGUCUCCAUCUCUGAGCGGGAUGCUUAUGGGUGAUGGUGCGUCGUGUGCUCCGGGGAACUUGUCGCGAUCAGAGUCAUGUCUUCACCUGUGAACAGCAGAUGGGAGAGGUCAGUUGUCAUCGUGGUGCGAGUGUCCCCAGCAAGUGCUCCAUCUGAAGCUGACAGUCCUUCAAGCUGCCUCGCUGUUGCUGAAACAGAAUGGGACACGUGGCUUGCUUGCCAGAAAGAAGCCAUGUCUUGGGUACUGCUGUCUGUAGUUAGCCCUUGUGAAAGAUAGAAAGGCAGAGUGGCUUGUAGGAGAGUGACGGUCUGCUCACGUGAUUUGACGUGAUUCUGUGGUGCUGGGGACAGAACCGGGACCCUCAUGCAUGCUAAAUAAGUGACCACUACUGGACUACAUCCCUAGCAACAACCUCCUCCAUAACUAAAUGACAGCUUUCACCAGGAAAUUCCUGGGGAUCACAGACAGUGUCUUGAAUAUUAAGUGUAAUGAGCAUGGGGAAGUUUCAUGAAGUUAACUUGUCUUUGAAGUACUUACCUGGGAAUCGAGCACAUUUCUAAGUCCUCCUGAGGUUCUGGCUGAGUACAUCUCUCUUUAUAUACUGCCAUGUUGACCCAGGGCAUGUGACUCUUUCCGUGAGAGGCACAUGUAUCCCUUAGGAUGACUUUUGUUCUAAACCUAAUAAAGGAAACCCCUCACUGCUGCACCCACAGGUGUCACCUUUUAAAGACAGUGCCUUGUUCGGUUCAGUUUUUGUUUUGUUUUGUUUUUUCAAGACAGGGUUUCUCUGUGUAGUUUUGGUGCCUCUCCUGGAUCUCGCUCUGUAGACCAGGCUGGCCUCGAACUCACAGAGAUCCGCCUGGCUCUGCCUCCCGAAUGCUGGGAUUAAAGGCGUGUGCCACCACCGCCCGGCCUCAGUUCAGUUUUAAAUGCAUGGAAUCAUAGGCCUUACAGACCAUUGCCGGUGUGUUAGGGGCCCGAUGCUUAGACCACUCCCAACAGUCUUCCCCUGCAGACGUCUGUCCAUGCAGCAAGGGGAAGGACAUCUUUCCCAGCGCUCUUUGAAUUUCUGUUUGCUUUCAUGUAAGAUUGCUCCUAGCUUGGCUGGGUGGUUUCUCAGGAGGUGUCUAGGGUGUAAGUGGAGGGAGGCCUCCCUGCUUGUCGGCAUCAUUUCCCCUUAAGCCCUAUCUUUUAGCAUUAGCAGGAACCUCAAAGGGGUCAGGCUGAAGGGUCUCAGCUUUGCUGUGCUCCCGUCUUAGUAAGGCCCACUGAUUCUCAUCCCUCCAGGAGUUGUGAGCUGUGCUCAUAUAGCCUGGAAUCUCGUUGAUAAGUUGAGAGGGAGAUGGGGUGCCUGGCAGCUGGCUCACAGGUCCUGCCGAUGGAAUCAUUCUGUGCACUGCUGUUAAAUCACUUGGCACUUUCUCGGGAUCUAUAUUAGCACUGUUUGCUUGUUUGUUGUCUUUUGUUGUUUUUUUUUUUUUGAGACAGUGUCUCACUGUGUAGCUCUGAGAAACUCGAUGUGUGGACCAGGCUGGCCUUGAAUUCACAUAGCUCCUCCUGCCUCUGCCCCUAAGUACUGGGAUUAAAGGCAUGCGCCACCAUGCCCAGCUAUUUUUGUUUUUAAUAACUGGAAGCAGUUCAUGGUUAUUUUGCUUGAUUUUUUUAGCUUCAGGAUAUUGAGGGUCAAGGAAAUAUGGUUUAUUUCUUAUUUCUAGCUUUGGGAACUUAGGAACGUCUGGAGAAGGAAGGAAUGGAUUUCCUGAUGAGCCUUCCUUCCAGGCUCGGUAAGGCAGCCUCUUUCAGCUAGAAUGUAAGUGACUCACAAGCUUUUAAUAUUGUGCUCUUUCGACAUGUAUGAUUUUAAAGAUGACUUGCAUUGGUAGAUUGCACUGUAAAUUUGAAAAGUGUACAAUUGCAAGGGGUUUUAGGUGUUGCUCUCCUUCCUUGUUUAUUUCUGUUAUGUCGGGGACACAGUCCCUUCUGAGACAUUUCAUUGUUUGCUUGAGGACAGCAUUACCAGUGGCCGCUGUUGGCCAGCAUCUGAUGCUGCCAUUGCUGGCACGUGUGUUAGGACAGCAUGCAUGCUUCAGUCUUCCCUGGUGAGCCAGCGUCCCUGGGACCUGCCACAAUGCUACUCAGGCUGAAAACUCACAGAGGAGCUUUGCGUUCCUAGAGGCCUGCUUAGAGGUGUGGCCCUGAGGCUCUUCCCUCUGCUUCUAGCAGUUUCCUUUAAAUAUAAAACUCUGUCUGGGACUGGUAGCACAUCCCUGUAGAGCACCCAUGGCAGGUGGCUCAAAACGGCUUGUAGCUCCAGCACUAGAGGAUCUGACGCCCUCUUCUGGCCUCUGUGGGCAUCUGCACAAAGAUUGAACAAAAACAUACCACCUUUUUUUUUUUUCUUAAAGAAGCUUUAGUUCAUUUUGAUACUGAUUAAUUUGCUUCUAAACAUAAAAUUUUGGGUUAAAGCAAGUUUCUGAGAAUUAUGUCCUUUAUUCACCAAAUGAUUAAAUUGACUUUUUUUUUUUUUUAAAGUAAGUAGGUUUUGUUUUUAUGAGCUGGGUCUUGUCUUGCUUAGACUGAUGUUAGCAAGUCUCUUCGAGUAUCCACCUCCUGAGUAGCUGGGCCUAAAGGUACAUGCUACCACAUCUGGCUUAAAUCUGCAUUAGAGAACGACCUUAUAAUUUCCCAUGAGUCCUACUAGGAACUUUUUAAAAAGACCCUCCUAGCUGGAGCUUCGCAUCAGUUGGUAGAGUGACCACCAGCAUGCCAGCCCACGGUUUGAUCCCCAUCACGUCACAAACUGGGAGCGGAGGUGCAAGCCUGUCAUCCUAGCACUAGGAAUGUAGAGGCAGGAUGACCAAGAAGUUCAAGGUCAAGUGGCAAGUUCAGGACCAACCUAAGGUGCAAGACCCUUGUGAUUAAUGGGAACCAGCCAUGGGUUACUUUACAUUGUGUGUGCUAGGUGUCGUUGAGUCCCAGUGAACCUGGCAGUUGGCGCCACUGUAAGGUGUGAACAUGAUGUAAAAGGUAAAUGACAUUAAAUAACAAACUCUUACUUUUCAUUCAGUUCGUCUACAGUUUAGUGAAAAGCAUGUGUUCUGCCAUGGAGUGAGUGCAGUGUAUAUACCCCGGUGUGUACACAGCACAGGAUGGGGCAGGGGGAGUUCCUGUGUAUGUGAGUUGGGAUGGAUGGUGGAAAGGACUUGACAGGGUACUCCGCUCCUCAGAGGAACUGUUGCCUGUGCAUCCACACCCCCCCCCCUUGCUUAUUUUAUUGAAAUCUGUAUCUCCUAUUACUCAGUGUCACCACUUUGUCUAAGUAGAUCUGUAGAUGGGUGUAAGCGACACCUGCCCAGAAGAGCUGACAGGGCGAUACUAAUUACAUGUCUUAAUUUAGUUUAGUUUAUAUUAAGGAGACCUGCAAAGUAUUACAAUCACCUUUUGUUCUUUUCUGAAAAAGCAAUUGAAAAGGUAACUGCUAACAGUCCUUAAAAUUAACAUUAGUUGUUGCUGCAGCUGGAUGGAAUGGGACAGACUGUGUCAUUUCAUCUAGCUACACAGUAGCACUUAACUGUAGAGGCAGUGGGGUGUUGUUUUAAGGCUGGUGAAGCCGGUGUGGAGUCAGGAGUGUAGGGAGAUGGGGCAAAGGACGGACGAAUGUGCACUUUGAGGGCUUUCUAAUGCACUGCUGUUCCGAGACGAGGCAGCGGUCCACUGGGUGCAUCUCCAGGCAUUGCAGGACCACCCUGAGGAGCCAGUCAGGCAGGGGUCCCGCCUUCUGUUGCUUCUAAGCUUUCUGCAAAAGCUUUGUUAACUUCCAUAGAGAUCAUGUGUAUUUUAAGAAAAUGAUACAUUUUUUAAAAAACUUUUAUGUAAGAACUGACAGAGGGAUUUGCUUGUAUGUGGGAAGCUGGCUUUAAGAAAGCACUCUGGCAUGUUUACUACAAGUCCAGAGCUAUGGAGAUCUGUUUAUAGAUAUAUGUGCAACUAGAUAUGGACAAUUGUAUUUUUUUAAAAUAAAUAUUUUUAACAAAU
Molecule: non-coding RNA, 6509 nt
Organism: Peromyscus maniculatus bairdii (prairie deer mouse)
Lineage: Eukaryota; Metazoa; Chordata; Mammalia; Rodentia; Cricetidae
Source: RefSeq, a predicted model, not a curated record